CGGACGGGUGAGUAACGCGUGGGUAACCUGCCUCACACAGGGGGAGUAACAGUUGGAAACGGGCUGCUAAUACCGCAUAAGCGCACAGUACCGCAUGGUACAGUGUGAAAAACUACCGGUGGUGUGAGAUGGACCCGCGUCUGAUUAGCUAGUUGGCAGGGCAACGGCCUACCAAGGCGACGAUCAGUAGCCGACCUGAGAGGGUGACCGGCCACAUUGGGACUGAGACACGGCCCAAACUCCUACGGGAGGCAGCAUG
RNAcentral lists this ribosomal RNA (259 nucleotides) under uncultured bacterium. RNAcentral's name for it is "partial 16S ribosomal RNA". It matches the Rfam family "Bacterial small subunit ribosomal RNA", at positions 99 to 353 of the family's 1533-position model. The record is from RNAcentral.